Molecule: ribosomal RNA, 406 nt
Filed under: uncultured bacterium
Lineage: Bacteria
Description: partial 16S ribosomal RNA
Rfam family: Bacterial small subunit ribosomal RNA
Source: RNAcentral
AUUGAACGCUGGCGGCAGGCCUAACACAUGCAAGUCGAACGAGAGGCGGACGGGUGAGUAAUGUCUGGGAAACUGCCUGAAGGAGGGGGAUAACUACUGGAAACGGUAGCUAAUACCGCAUACCAUCAGAUGGGCCCAGAUGGGAUUAGCUUGUUGGUGGGGUAACGGCUCACCAAGGCGACGAUCCCUAGCUGGUCUGAGCGGCUGACCAGCGAAACGGGAACUGAGACACGGUCCAGACUCCUACGGUAGGCAGCAGUGGGGAAUAUUGCACAAUGGGCGCAAGCCUGAUGCAGCCAUGCCGAGUGUAUGAAGAAGGCCUUCGGGUUGUAAAGUACUUUCAGCGGGGAGGCGUUACCCGCAGAAGAAGCACCGGCUAACUCCGUGCCAGCCGCCGCGGUAAUUC